UGGGGAAUUUUGGACAAUGGGCGAAAGCCUGAUCCAGCAAUGCCGCGUGUGUGAAGAAGGCCUUCGGGUUGUAAAGCACUUUUGUCCGGAAAGAAAAUCCUCUGGUUAAUACCUCGGGGGAUGACGGUACCGGAAGAAUAAGCACCGGCUAACUACGUGCCAGCAGCCGCGGUAAUACGUAGGGUGCAAGCGUUAAUCGGAAUUACUGGGCGUAAAGCGUGCGCAGGCGGUUUGCUAAGACCGAUGUGAAAAUCCCCGGGCUCAACCUGGGAACUGCAUUGGUGACUGGCAGGCUAGAGUAUGGCAGAGGGGGGUAGAAUUCCACGUGUAGCAGUGAAAUGCGUAGAGAUGUGGAGGAAUACCGAUGGCGAAGGCAGCCCCCUGGCCAAGUACUGACGCUCAUGCACGAAAGCGUGGGGAGCAAAACAGGAUUAGAU
This 437-nucleotide ribosomal RNA is filed under the name uncultured bacterium. RNAcentral describes it as "partial 16S ribosomal RNA". It matches the Rfam family "Bacterial small subunit ribosomal RNA", at positions 355 to 783 of the family's 1533-position model. The record is from RNAcentral.